RNAcentral lists this long non-coding RNA (868 nucleotides) under Phaseolus vulgaris (common bean). Its description in RNAcentral is "long non-coding RNA (PVUL_LNC000362)". Lineage: Eukaryota; Viridiplantae; Streptophyta; Magnoliopsida; Fabales; Fabaceae. The record is from RNAcentral.
AUAGUCAUAACUGCAUAGAACAAAUAAAUUUUUAACUCUAAACAAAAAUUCAAAAUAUUAAGUCCAAACCAAUUAAAAUACAUAUAAAAUCAAAAUAAAUAACACUAUUACUUUCAAUACUAACCUAUUUGGUUGUAAUGGAAUCUUUUGUUUUAUCAAUGAAAUUUGAGGACCACUCUUUCCUAAGAAGUCGUCAAGAAUUUAAAAAAGGUGAUGGAGUCGAUUAACCUACAAGAUGCAAUUUAACAAGAAUGACAAACAAAUUCAAACCAAAUGAAUUCAUUAACUAUUAAAGAACAUGCAAUUAUUUACCAUUGCUUUAUCAAUCUUCUAUCGACCUUCAAUUCCAUGACCAAUGGAGUCCAACACAUGCAAUUGCCUCGUCCGAAAAUUGAAUGUGUACAACCACCAAUGGUCAUUGAACACGGUUGGCACAAAGAUCUACAAAACAAUGCAAAAUUUAAAUCGACAGUCAACAUCAACAUUCUAAACAACACCAACAAAAUUUGCACAAAACAUCGCCAAUAUUAACUUACAAAAUCACAAUACGAUAUUCCCUGGUAUGAUAAUCAGAACUGGACCAUGAAAUUUGUCCCUCAUUCAUGUUGAUCUCCUCAAUUACACGAGUUUGUAACAACCAACUCUUAUUAUUACUAUUACCAAAAACUUAAAACAAAUAACAAGAAAUUUAAAUGCACACUAACCGCAAAAAGCGGAUUGAAUGAAAACUGAUUCAGCACUCUAAAUUUCACAAUUUGAUUCAGAUUUAACAACCGGUUACAAAUAACAUAACCUACAACCACAUUCAACAUAACUAAGUAAAUAAUAUAAGUACAUACAACAAACACAGCAAUAUGAAAAUUUUUAC